GUAUCAACACCAUGAAACUGUUUCUCCUCAACUCCUUGAGCCUUCUCUUAACCUCAUUGGUAAUGAAAUCAUCAUCGUCAUCUUCGAUCUCAUCUGUUUUAGCCGAAUCUAUCACACCAGCUUCAGUGUUAUCACUCCUUGCCUGCUCUUGCUGAGCCAAAAUCUUGUCUUCUUUCUCCUUUUCAAGGUUUGGCUUCCGUGACUUUCGAAAUUUUCUAACUCUCAAGAAAUCCAUUGCCUCCUCAAACACACUUGGAAGAGUAGUGUCUGUUUUGUUAAAUCUUAAGAUCUAAAUUGAGACUUGUUUGCAUGAAAGAAGGAUUCUCUUCUGCCCCAACGGACUUAAUCAAAGUAGCAACUAAACCACAGAAUGUGUAAAAUGCAUGAAUCUAGUAGGAUCUCAGAGAAUCAUGACCAAACCCUAGAGAAUCAGAGCAACCGACAGAAGAUGGAAAAUGCAUAAAGAAAGAAUCAAAAUUUUCACAAGAUCAGUAGGAACAAGAGCAUUUGUGUGAAAGUUCAGAUACGAUUCAUAAAUCACUAGCAUUACCUGGUAAAUCAACACUCCACUGAAACUAGUACACUGA
RNAcentral lists this long non-coding RNA (587 nucleotides) under Arabidopsis lyrata. RNAcentral describes it as "long non-coding RNA (ALYR_LNC002355)". Lineage: Eukaryota; Viridiplantae; Streptophyta; Magnoliopsida; Brassicales; Brassicaceae. The record is from RNAcentral.